Molecule: ribosomal RNA, 254 nt
Filed under: uncultured bacterium
Lineage: Bacteria
Description: partial 16S ribosomal RNA
Rfam family: Bacterial small subunit ribosomal RNA
Source: RNAcentral
GACAUAGGUGGCGAACGUCAUCCGGAUUUAUUGGGCGUAAAGGAUGCGUAGAUGGUGGAAUAAGUUAUUGGUCGAGGUCAAGCUCAACUUGGCGGAAGCUGAUAAUACUGUUCUACUUGAGGGCAGGAGAGGUUGGCGGAAUUCUGUGUGGAGCGGUGAAAUGCGUUGAUCUACAGAGGAACACCAAAAAGGGCGAAGGCAGCCAACUAUUCUGAUCCUGACAUUGAGGCAUGAAAGCGUGGGGAGCAAACCGG